This 2922-nucleotide long non-coding RNA is filed under the name Homo sapiens (human). Its description in RNAcentral is "HSALNT0120684". The record is from RNAcentral. Lineage: Eukaryota; Metazoa; Chordata; Mammalia; Primates; Hominidae.
AUUUACCUAGGCAUUUGGCUGCCUUCUGUCACUAUCACUGGUUCCAAUCUGCUAGGGCAAGUUAUGCAAAAUAGAGCUCUUUCCCCAAGGACACAGAUGGGGUCUCUUUAAUGUUCCUAGGAUUUCUUCAGGAAGCCUGGUCUUUUCUCCUAUAUUCAGUUGCUACAAGUUGCAGGACUCUGGGGUCAUGUCUCAUGGCUGGAGUCACAGGCUGGGAGCACCCUGCAGAAUGGCAAGUGACAUCUUGACUCUACAGAGCCAACAGCCCGGGAGCACCACACAGAAUGGCAGGUGACAUCUUGGCUCUACAGAGCCAACAGCUUCGUCACUGGCUACAGAUCCUCCAUCCCCCAACCAUGAGACUGGAACAAAGGAAGUAACUGGGUACAUUCCAGAGAAGUGGAGAAGGUUGCAAUUGAGUGACUUUCAUCACAAGAGGGCAGCAUGUGUCCAGUAAUUAAUCCAUUAUGUGGUAGAAGUCUGUCUUCUCCCCGUGCUCCUAGGAAGACCUUCAUGUCCUCCUUGACCAACAGGGGAUGGUGGAAGUGACUCUGUGUGACUUGUGAGACAAGAUUCUAAAAGUCAUGCACUUCUGCCUUGUUCUCUUGGGAUAACUGCUCUUGGAACCCAGCCAUUGCAGUGAGGAAGUCAAAUAGCUCCAUGGACAUGCCAUGUGUAGGUGUUCUGGCAAACAGCCCCAGGUGAGGUUCCAACUGACAGCCAACGUCAACCACCUGACGAGAAUGAGUCUUCCAGCCUUGAUCUGCUGAGUCAUCGCCAACUCCAGCCAAUACUGUAAGGAGCAAAGAUGAGCUGUUCUGCCAAUUGUAGCCCAAAUUGCAGAUUUUUGAAUAAAAUAAAUGACUGUUAUCAUUGUAAGCCACUAAGUUAGGAGUGCUUUGUUAUGCAGCAAAAAAUAAUUAGAAGAACAAAUAUGACAUUAUUAAAUUAGUAAUGCUUUUGACUUUUAGUACACGGGGGAAUAGAUAAGUAAAAUGUUGAAUAAAUAUGAAUAAAGUGGAAUAUUUCUGAAGCAGUCAGAGGGAUGAAUUAGCCAUACAUGCAGCAACAUAAGUCAAUCUUAAUACACAGUGAAGAACUAAUCAUCAGAAUGCUAUACAGACAAUAUAUUAGGCCGAUUUUGCACUGCUAUAAAAAAAUACCUGAGACUGAGAAAAAAAAAAAAAACCUGAGAAGAGGUUUAAUUGGCUCACAGUUCUGCAGGUUGUACAGGAAGCAUGGUGCUGGCAUCUGCUUAGCUUCUGGAGAGGCGUCAGGGAACUUUUACUCAUGGCAGCAGGCAAAGCAGGAGCAGGCAUGUCACAUGGUGAAAACAGGAGCAACAGAGGGCGAGGGGAAAGAUGCCUCACACCUUUAAACAGCCAGAUCUUGCUAGAAGUACCGCAAAGACAGCGCCAAGGGGAUAAUGCUAAACCAUCCAAGAGAACUCUGCUCCCAUGAUCCAGUCACCUCCCAUUAGGCUCUACCUCCAACAAAGGGAAUUACAAUUCAACAUGAGGUUUAGAGGAUACAACAUCCAAACUAUAUCAGACAAUAACCAUUUAUAAACAUGUAAAAAAAAACUAAAAGAAAUCUUAGGUAUUUUUGAAAGAUUCAUAAAAAUCUAAUUCAAUGUACAGAAGGUAGAUCAGAAGGACAUAUAUUAAAUACACUAGGGUAUGUAGUUAAAUAACUAUAGGAUUGGGAAUGGGAAUAAAGGGAGAAAAUUUUAAAAAAGUCAAAAACAAGAGAGUGUUAUGUAAUUUCCAGACUUGAUUCCCAUUUCCUUCUAAGUCACACAGCUAAAAUCUAUUUCCCAGCCUUCUGUGCAGUUAGGUGUGGCCAUAUGAUUUAGCUCUAACUAUUGGAAUGUGGGCAAAAGAGAUGUAAGUUAUCUCUAAGCCAAGCCCCUCAGCAAGGAAAAAAUGGCCUUGGCAACUAAUAAAUAGAUACCAAGAUGGACCACAUCCUAUCCUGGGUCAUGUAAAACAAACCUUCACAAAUUUAAAAGGACUGAAAUCAUAAAAAAUAUAUUAUCUGUUCAUAAUGAAUCUAACUAGAAAUCAAUAAUAACAGAAAGAUACCAGGAAAAUCACAAAACAAUUAGAAAUUAAACAACCCACUUUUAAAUACUCCAAUGGUCAAAGAGAAAGUCUCAAAGGAAAUGUAAAAAUACACUGAAGGGAAUGAAAAUACAACAUAUAAAAAUCUUUGGGAUGCAGUUAAAGCAGUUUCACUUUUAGAGAAAUUUAUAAAUUUAACACUAAAUGCUUAUAUUGGAAGAUGGUCUCAGAUCCAAAACAAAGCUUCCACCUCAAGAAACUACAAGCGGAAGAGCAAAAUAAACCCAAAGCAAGUAGGAGGAAGGAAUAAACGUAAGAGUAAAAAGUCAAUGAAAUUGAAAACAGAAAAACAAUAGAGAAAAAUGAAAGCAAAAGUUUAUUCUUUGAAAAGAUCAAUAACAUUGAUCAACCUCAAGCAAGGCUGACAAAAGGUGGGGAGAAGAAGAGAAGAGGGAAGGAGAGAGGAGAGGAGAGGAGGGGAGACAGGAAGUUAAGAAGGGGGAAAGUGCAAGAAAGACAUAAAUGAUCAAUAUUGGUAAUGAAAGAAGGAAUACUAUUACAGACCCAGCAGACAUUACAGGAUAAUAAAGGAAUACAACAAACAACUCUAUGCACAUAAAUUUGACAAUUUAGAUGAUAUGGACCAAUUCCAAACUAUAAAAACACCCAAGAUAACAGAUAACUUGAAUAGUCUCAUAACUACUAAAAAAAUUGAAUUAACAGUUUAAAACCUUUUGAUAAAGAAAUCUCCAGGCCCAGAUGGUAUCACUGCUGAACUGUAACAAACAUUAAAAGAAUAAGUAACAGUAACUUUAUACCAUCUCUUCUGGGAAACAGGGAAGGGAACAACUAAUAAGUG